GGGGAUAUAGCUCAGUGGUAGUGUGCUUGCCUAAAAUGCAUGAAGCCCUGGGUUCCAUCCCCAGUACCG
Molecule: transfer RNA, 69 nt
Filed under: Ictidomys tridecemlineatus (thirteen-lined ground squirrel)
Lineage: Eukaryota; Metazoa; Chordata; Mammalia; Rodentia; Sciuridae
Description: Spermophilus tridecemlineatus (thirteen-lined ground squirrel) tRNA
Rfam family: tRNA
About the family: Transfer RNA (tRNA) molecules are approximately 80 nucleotides in length. Their secondary structure includes four short double-helical elements and three loops (D, anti-codon, and T loops).
Source: Rfam by way of RNAcentral